AGUUAAAAACUAGAGGCUCUAAAGAGCCUGUGUCGCUCACCUUGGUCUAUGUGAAUAUUAAACAAUGGACACAGAUGGAUUCAUGACAAAAUUGUGUUUUGGUGAUGGUGAUGUGUUUGUAGAUCUUACUUUACUAAACAUUCUUGCUGCUUACAAUUAUCUCUAUCUAUAACAGUACUUUCUGUGGAAAAUGUUAUUGAAAAUCUUCAAAUUUUAAGAAAAUUGUUAAAAAUUUACUAUGAAGGGCAAUAACUCCUUAGGGGGUCAAUUGACUAUUUUGGUUAUACUGACUUAUUUUUAGUUCUUACUUUGCUGUACAUUAUUGCUGUUUACAGUUUAUCUCUAUCUAUAAUAAUAUUCAAGAUAAUAACAAAAAAACAGCAAAAUUUCCUCAAAAUAACCAAUUCAGGGGCAGCAACCUAGCAACCCAUUAUCCAAUUCAUCUGAAAAUUCCAGGGCAGAUAGAUCGUGACCUGAUCAACAAUUUUACUUCCUGUCAGAUUUGCUCUUAAUGCUUUGGUUUU
This 524-nucleotide long non-coding RNA is filed under the name Mytilus galloprovincialis (Mediterranean mussel). Lineage: Eukaryota; Metazoa; Mollusca; Bivalvia; Mytilida; Mytilidae. The record is from RNAcentral.